CAGCAGUGGGGAAUAUUGCACAAUGGGCGCAAGCCUGAUGCAGCAACGCCGCGUGCGGGAUGACGGCCUUCGGGUUGUAAACCGCUUUCGCCUGUGACGAAGCGUGAGUGACGGUAAUGGGUAAAGAAGCACCGGCUAACUACGUG
This 146-nucleotide ribosomal RNA is filed under the name uncultured bacterium. RNAcentral's name for it is "partial 16S ribosomal RNA". It matches the Rfam family "Bacterial small subunit ribosomal RNA", at positions 349 to 507 of the family's 1533-position model. The record is from RNAcentral.